AAAUUGAAGAGUUUGAUCAUGGCUCAGAUUGAACGCUGGCGGCAGGCCUAACACAUGCAAGUCGAACGGUAGCACAGAGAGCUUGCUCUCGGGUGACGAGUGGCGGACGGGUGAGUAAUGUCUGGGAAACUGCCUGAUGGAGGGGGAUAACUACUGGAAACGGUGGCUAAUACCGCAUAACGUCGCAAGACCAAAGAGGGGGACCUUCGGGCCUCUUGCCAUCAGAUGUGCCC
RNAcentral lists this ribosomal RNA (233 nucleotides) under Salmonella enterica subsp. enterica serovar Infantis. RNAcentral describes it as "partial 16S ribosomal RNA". It matches the Rfam family "Bacterial small subunit ribosomal RNA", at positions 1 to 232 of the family's 1533-position model. RNAcentral also lists the same sequence under 1 other name. The record is from RNAcentral. Lineage: Bacteria; Pseudomonadati; Pseudomonadota; Gammaproteobacteria; Enterobacterales; Enterobacteriaceae.